AUUGAACGCUGGCGGCAUGCCUUACACAUGCAAGUCGAACGGUAACAGGUUAAGCUGACGAGUGGCGAACGGGUGAGUAAUAUAUCGGAACGUGCCCAGUCGUGGGGGAUAACGUAGCGAAAGCUACGCUAAUACCGCAUACGAUCUACGGAUGAAAGCGGGGGAUCGCAAGACCUCGCGCGAUUGGAGCGGCCGAUAUCAGAUUAGGUUGUUGGUGAGGUAAAAGCUCACCAAGCCUGCGAUCUGUAGCUGGUCUGAGAGGACGACCAGCCACACAGGAACUGAGACACGGUCCAGAGUGCUACGGGAGGCAGCAGUGGGGAAUUUUGGACAAUGGACGCAAGUCUGAUCAAGCAAUGCCGCGUGCAGGACGAAGGCCUUCGGGUUGUAAACUGCUUUUGUACGGAACGAAACGGUGAGCUCUAAUACAGUUUGCUAAUGACGGUAACGUAAGAAUAAGCACCGGCUAACUACGUGCCAGCCGCCGCCGUAA
RNAcentral lists this ribosomal RNA (493 nucleotides) under uncultured bacterium. RNAcentral describes it as "partial 16S ribosomal RNA". It matches the Rfam family "Bacterial small subunit ribosomal RNA", at positions 30 to 523 of the family's 1533-position model. The record is from RNAcentral.